RNAcentral lists this ribosomal RNA (232 nucleotides) under uncultured bacterium. Its description in RNAcentral is "partial 16S ribosomal RNA". It matches the Rfam family "Bacterial small subunit ribosomal RNA", at positions 85 to 334 of the family's 1533-position model. The record is from RNAcentral.
CAAUACACGAGCGGCGGACGGGUGAGUAACACGUGGGAACAUGCCUUUCGGUUCGGAAUAACGCAGGGAAACUUGCGCUAAUACCGAAUGCGCCGGUAACGGGAAAGAUUUAUCGCCGAAAGAUUGGCCCGCGUAGGAUUAGCUAGUUGGUGAGGUAAUGGCCCACCAAGGCUACGAUCCUUAGCUGGUUUGAGAGAACGAUCAGCCACACUGGGACUGAGACACGGCCCAG